RNAcentral lists this transfer RNA (72 nucleotides) under Halocynthia aurantium. Its description in RNAcentral is "tRNA-Met". The record is from RNAcentral. Lineage: Eukaryota; Metazoa; Chordata; Ascidiacea; Stolidobranchia; Pyuridae.
CAACAGUAAACUAUUUUAAGUUUGUGGGGUUCAUAGUCCUAAGUAUGUGGUGAAAUAAAAACUGCCUGUUGA